GAUGAACGCUAGCGGCAGGCUUAAUACAUGCAAGUCGAGGGGCAACAGGGGUAGCAAUACCUGCUGGCGACCGGCAAACGGGUGCGGAACACGUACAGAACCUUCCUUUAAGCGGGGGAUAGCCCAUAGAAAUGUGGAUUAAUACCCCAUAGUAAUACUGGCUGGCAUCAGCUGGUAUUUAAAGAUUUAUCACUUAAAGAUGGCUGUGCGGCUGAUUAGGUAGUUGGUGCGGGAACGGCCCACCAAGCCAGCGAUCAGUAACUGGUGUGAGAGCACGACCAGUCACACGGGCACUGAGACACGGGCCCGACUCCUACGGGAGGCAGCAGUAAGGAAUAUUGGUCAAUGGACGCAAGUCUGAACCAGCCAU
This 370-nucleotide ribosomal RNA is filed under the name uncultured bacterium. Its description in RNAcentral is "bacterial SSU rRNA". It matches the Rfam family "Bacterial small subunit ribosomal RNA", at positions 28 to 395 of the family's 1533-position model. The record is from RNAcentral.